GUCAUCCUCAGUUCGGACUGGGGUCUGCAACCCGACCCCACGAAGCUGGAUUCGCUAGUAAUCGCGCAUCAGCCAUGGCGCGGUGAAUACGUUCCCGGGCCUUGUACACACCGCCCGUCAAGCCAUGAAAGCCGGGGGCGCCUGAAGUCCGUGACCGCGAGGGUCGGCCUAGGGUGAAACUGGUGAUUGGGGCUAAGUCGUAACAAGGUAAC
RNAcentral lists this ribosomal RNA (212 nucleotides) under uncultured bacterium. RNAcentral describes it as "partial 16S ribosomal RNA". It matches the Rfam family "Bacterial small subunit ribosomal RNA", at positions 1281 to 1500 of the family's 1533-position model. The record is from RNAcentral.